CACGUAGGAGGCGAGCGUUGUCCGGAAUCAUUGGGCGUAAAGAGCGCGUAGGCGGCUUGGCAAGUCGGGUGUGAAAUCCCGGGGCUCAACCCCGGGACUGCAUUCGAUACUGUCAGGCUAGAGGUAGGUAGGGGAGAUCGGAAUUCCUGGUGUAGCGGUGAAAUGCGCAGAUAUCAGGAGGAACACCGGUGGCGAAGGCGGAUCUCUGGGCCUUACCUGACGCUCAGGCGCGAAAGCUAGGGGAGCGAACAGG
Molecule: ribosomal RNA, 253 nt
Filed under: uncultured bacterium
Lineage: Bacteria
Description: partial 16S ribosomal RNA
Rfam family: Bacterial small subunit ribosomal RNA
Source: RNAcentral